RNAcentral lists this ribosomal RNA (490 nucleotides) under Proteus mirabilis. RNAcentral describes it as "bacterial SSU rRNA". It matches the Rfam family "Bacterial small subunit ribosomal RNA", at positions 118 to 604 of the family's 1533-position model. The record is from RNAcentral. Lineage: Bacteria; Pseudomonadati; Pseudomonadota; Gammaproteobacteria; Enterobacterales; Morganellaceae.
UGGGGAUCUGCCCGAUGGAGGGGGAUAACUACUGGAAACGGUGGCUAAUACCGCAUAACGUCUACGGACCAAAGAAGGGGAUCUUCGGGCCUUGCGCUAUCGGAUGAACCCAUAUGGGAUUAGCUAGUAGGUGGGGUAAAGGCUCACCUAGGCGACGAUCCCUAGCUGGUCUGAAAGGAUGAUCAGCCUCACUGGAACUGAGACACGGCCCAGACUCCUACUGGAGGCAGCAGUGGGGAAUAUUGCACAAUGGGCGCGAGCCUGAUGCAGCCAUGCCGCGUGUAUGAAAAAGGCCUUAGGGUUGUAAAGUACUUUCACCGGGGAGGAAGGGGAUAAAGUUAAUACCCUUAAGGGUUGACCUUACCCGGAGAAUAACCACCGGGUCACUCCUUGCCAGCUGCCACGGUAAUACGGAAGGUGCAAGCGGUAAUCGUAAUUACUGGGCGUAAAGCGCACACAGGCCGUUUGUUUACUCCCAUGUGAAAUCCCG